UAGAGAUGGGCACGCGCAAGAUUAGAUAGUUGGUGAGGUAACGGCUCACCAAGUCGAUGAUCUUUAGGGGGCCUGAGAGGGUGAUCCCCCACACUGGUACUGAGACACGGACCAGACUCCUACGGGAGGCAGCAGUGAGGAAUAUUGGACAAUGGGUUAGCGCCUGAUCCAGCCAUCCCGCGUGAAGGACGACGGCCCUAUGGGUUGUAAACUUCUUUUGUACAGGGAUAAACCUAUUUACGUGUAAAUAGCUGAAGGUACUGUACGAAUAAGCACCGGCUAACUCCGUGCCAGCAGCCGCGGUAAUACGGAGGGUGCAAGCGUUAUCCGGAUUUAUUGGGUUUAAAGGGUCCGUAGGCGGAUGUGUAAGUCAGUGGUGAAAUCUCACAGCUUAACUGUGAAACUGCCAUUGAUACUGCAUGUCUUGAGUAAGGUAGAAGUGGCUGGAAUAAGUAGUGUAGCGGUGAAAUGCAUAGAUAUUACUUAGAACACCAAUUGCGAAGGCAGGUCACUAUGUCUUAACUGACGCUGAUGGACGAAAGCGUGGGGAGCGAACAGGAUUAGAUACCCUGGUAGUCCACGCCGUAAACGAUGCUAACUCGUUUUUGGGUUUUCGGAUUCAGAGACUAAGCGAAAGUGAUAAGUUAGCCACCUGGGGAGUACGUUCGCAAGAAUGAAACUCAAAGGAAUUGACGGGGGCCCGCACAAGCGGUGGAUUAUGUGGUUUAAUUCGAUGAUACGCGAGGAACCUUACCAAGGCUUAAAUGGGAAUUGAUCGGUUUAGAAAUAGACCUUCCUUCGGGCAAUUUUCAAGGUGCUGCAUGGUUGUCGUCAGCUCGUGCCGUGAGGUGUUAGGUUAAGUCCUGCAACGAGCGCAACCCCUGUUACUAGUUGCUACCAUUAAGUUGAGGACUCUAGUAAGACUGCCUACGCAAGUAGAGAGGAAGGUGGGGAUGACGUCAAAUCAUCACGGCCCUUACGCCUUGGGCCACACACGUAAUACAAUGGCAGGUACAGAGGGCAGCUACACAGCGAUGUGAUGCGAAUCUCGAAAGCCUGUCUCAGUUCGGAUUGGAGUCUGCAACUCGACUCUAUGAAGCUGGAAUCGCUAGUAAUCGCGCAUCAGCCAUGGCGCGGUGAAUACGUUCCCGGGCCUUGUACACACCGCCCGUCAAGCCAUGGAAGUCUGGGGUACCUGAAGUCG
Molecule: ribosomal RNA, 1204 nt
Filed under: Chryseobacterium sp. 56a
Lineage: Bacteria; Pseudomonadati; Bacteroidota; Flavobacteriia; Flavobacteriales; Weeksellaceae
Description: bacterial SSU rRNA
Rfam family: Bacterial small subunit ribosomal RNA
Source: RNAcentral